GGUUGGUGCAAAAGUAACUGCGGUUUUUGCCAUUGCUUUCAAUGGGAAAAACCACAAUUACUUUUGUACCAAUC
Molecule: microRNA precursor, 74 nt
Filed under: Aotus nancymaae (Ma's night monkey)
Lineage: Eukaryota; Metazoa; Chordata; Mammalia; Primates; Aotidae
Description: miRNA (ENSANAG00000012214.1)
Source: RNAcentral